CGAGUGAGGGUCCUCGUGGCCCAACCUCCCACCCGUGACUAUUGUACCUUUGUUGCUUCGGCGGGCCCGCCAGCCCCGUGCUGGCCGCCGGGGGGCCUUGUGCCCCCGGGUCCGCGCCCGCCGGAGACCCCAACAUGAACACUGUUCUGAAAGCCUGUAUGAAUCCGAUUCUUUGUAAUCAGUUAAAACUUUCAACAAUGGAUCUCUUGGUUCCGGCAUCGAUGAAGAACGCAGCGAAAUGCGAUAACUAAUGUGAAUUGCAGAAUUCAGUGAAUCAUCGAGUCUUUGAACGCACAUUGCGCCCCCUGGUAUUCCGGGGGGCAUGCCUGUCCGAGCGUCAUUGCUGCCCUCAAGCCCGGCUUGUGUGUUGGGUCCUCGUCCUCCCCUCGCGGGGGGACGGGCCCGAAAGGCAGCGGCGGCACCGCGUCCGGUCCUCGAGCGUAUGGGGCUUUGUCACCCGCUCUGUAGGCCCGGCCGGCGCCAGCCGACGCAAAUCACCUUUUUUUUCAGGUUGACCUCGGAUCAGGUAGGGAUACCCGCUGAACUUAAGCAUAUCAAUAAGCGGAGGAAAAGAAACCAACCGGGAUUGCCUCAGUAACGGCGAGUGAAGCGGCAAGAGCUCAAAUUUGAAAGCUGGCUCCUUCGGGGUCCGCAUUGUAAUUUGCAGAGGAUGCUUCGGGCGCAGCCCCCGUCUAAGUGCCCUGGAAUGGGCCGUCGGAGAGGGUGAGAAUCCCGUCUGGGAUGGGGUGCCUGUGUCCGUGUGAAGCUCCUUCGACGAGUCGAGUUGUUUGGGAAUGCAGCUCUAAAUGGGUGGUAAAUUUCAUCUAAAGCUAAAUAUUGGCCGGAGACCGAUAGCGCACAAGUAGAGUGAUCGAAAGAUGAAAAGCACUUUGAAAAGAGAGUUAAACAGCACGUGAAAUUGUUGAAAGGGAAGCGCUUGCGACCAGACUCGCUCGCGGGGUUCAGCCGGCAUUCGUGCCGGUGUACUUCCCCGUGGGCGGGCCAGCGUCGGUUUGGGCGGCCGGUCAAAGGCCUCCGGAAUGUAGCGCCCUUCGGGGCGCCUUAUAGCCGGGGGUGCAAUGCGGCCAGCCUGGACCGAGGAACGCGCUUC
This 1111-nucleotide unclassified non-coding RNA is filed under the name Aspergillus spelaeus. RNAcentral's name for it is "sequence contains ITS1, 5.8S rRNA gene and ITS2". The stretch from base 513 to 1111 matches the Rfam family "Eukaryotic large subunit ribosomal RNA", at positions 1 to 603 of the family's 3401-position model. The record is from RNAcentral. Lineage: Eukaryota; Fungi; Ascomycota; Eurotiomycetes; Eurotiales; Aspergillaceae.